RNAcentral lists this ribosomal RNA (1436 nucleotides) under uncultured marine microorganism. Its description in RNAcentral is "16S ribosomal RNA". It matches the Rfam family "Bacterial small subunit ribosomal RNA". The record is from RNAcentral.
AGGGUUUGAUUAUGGCUCAGAACGUACGCUGGCGGCACGCCUAACACAUGCAAGUCGAACGAAGUAGCAAUACUUAGUGGCAGACGGGUGAGUAACAUGUAGGUAUCUGCCCUUUGGCCUGGAAUAACACGAGGAAACUUGUGCUAAUACCGGAUAAGUCUUUACAGAGAAAGCUUUAUGCACCAUUGGAUGAGCCUGCACUUGAUUAGUUUGUUGGUGGGGUAAUGGCCUACCAAGACUGUGAUCAAUAGCUGAUUUGAGAGGAUGAUCAGCCACAUUGGGACUGAGACACGGCCCAAACUCCUACGGGAGGCAGCAGUGGGGAAUCUUGCACAAUGGAGGAAACUCUGAUGCAGCGAUGCCGCGUGAGUGAAGAAGGCCUUUGGGUUGUAAAGCUCUUUCGUCGGGGAAGAAAAUGACUGUACCCGAAUAAGAAGGUCCGGCUAACUUCGUGCCAGCAGCCGCGGUAAUACGAAGGGACCUAGCGUAGUUCGGAAUUACUGGGCUUAAAGAGUUCGUAGGUGGUUGAAAAAGUUGGUGGUGAAAUCCCAGAGCUUAACUCUGGAACUGCCAUCAAAACUUUUCAGCUAGAGUAUGAUAGAGGAAAGCAGAAUUUCUAGUGUAGAGGUGAAAUUCGUAGAUAUUAGAAAGAAUACCAAUUGCGAAGGCAGCUUUCUGGAUCAUUACUGACACUGAGGAACGAAAGCAUGGGUAGCGAAGAGGAUUAGAUACCCUCGUAGUCCAUGCCGUAAACGAUGUGUGUUAGACGUUGGAAAUUUAUUUUCAGUGUCGCAGCGAAAGCGAUAAACACACCGCCUGGGGAGUACGACCGCAAGGUUAAAACUCAAAUGAAUUGACGGGGACCCGCACAAGUAGUGGAGCAUGUGGUUUAAUUCGAAGAUACGCGCAGAACCUUACCAACACUUGACAUGUUCGUCGCGACUUUAAGAGAUUAGAGUUUUCGGUUCGGCCGGACGAAACACAGGUGCUGCAUGGCUGUCGUCAGCUCGUGUCGUGAGAUGUUGGGUUAAGUCCCGCAACGAGCGCAACCCUCACUUUUAGUUGCCAUCAUUAAGUUGGGCACUCUGAAAGAACUGCCAGUGAUAAGCUGGAGGAAGGUGGGGAUGACGUCAAGUCCUCAUGGCCCUUACGUGUUGGGCUACACACGUGCUACAAUGGUAUCUACAACAGGAAGCAAGACGGCGACGUUAAGCAAAUCCUUAAAAGAUACCUCAGUUCGGAUUGCACUCUGCAACUCGAGUGCAUGAAGCUGGAAUUACUAGUAAUCGUGGAUCAGCGUGCCACGGUGAAUGCGUUCCCGGGUCUUGUACACACCGCCCGUCACACCAUGGGAGUUGGUUCUACCUUAAGGCAAGGUUUCAAACCCUUGACCACGGUAUAGUCAGCGACUGGGGUGAAGUCGUAACAAGGUAACC